Molecule: ribosomal RNA, 403 nt
Filed under: uncultured bacterium
Lineage: Bacteria
Description: partial 16S ribosomal RNA
Rfam family: Bacterial small subunit ribosomal RNA
Source: RNAcentral
AUUGAACGCUGGCGGCAGGCCUAACACAUGCAAGUCGAGCGAGCGGCGGACGGGUGAGUAAUGUAUGGGGACUGCCCGAUAGAGGGGGAUAACUACUGGAACCGGUAGCUAAUACCGCAUACUAUCGGAUAACCCAUAUGGGAUUAGGUAAGAGGUGAGGUAAUGGCUCACUUGGUCGACGAUCCCUAGCUGGUCUGAGAGGAUGAUCAGCCACCCUGGGACUCAGACACGGCCCAGACUCCCAGGGAGGCAGCAGUGGGGAAUAUUGCACAAUGGGCGCAAGCCUGAGGCAGCCAUGCCGGGUGUAUGAAGAAGGCCCUAGGUUUGUAAAGUACUUUCAGUCGGGAGGCGUUACCGACAGAAGAAGCACCGGCUAACUCCGUGCCAGCAGCCGCGGUAAUAC